RNAcentral lists this non-coding RNA (339 nucleotides) under Desmodesmus armatus. Lineage: Eukaryota; Viridiplantae; Chlorophyta; Chlorophyceae; Sphaeropleales; Scenedesmaceae. The record is from RNAcentral.
UAUACGCACCUGGCAUGCUGUGUCUGUCAGUUGCCCCCGUCAAGGUUGCGUCAGCUGGAGGAUUUCUCCAGUCAACCUAGUAACCCUAAACUAGUGUUGCACUGGCCGCAUGUCGGCAGCAGGGUACGGCAGGGGGUCUUGGGCGCCUGUUUCGCCCCUACAGAACAGAAGCAGGCAUGGCAGCUGCAAGACGCAGUGAUGAAGUGUAUGGGAGACACUCCCCUGCCGAGGGCGGUCUGCCCAGUCACAGCACACAGGCAGUGGGGCUGUGAGAAUGGUUUGGCCAUGCGGGCAGUAUCAGGACCGGGCAGUGGGCGAUGCGUGGGUGCUGCAUAUUGC